ACAGUUCGCCGCGGGUCGAUAAUGCCGAUCGAUCGAUUGGCUGAAUGACACCGAACCGCUGGCGCUGACCAAGCGCGACCUUUUGUCACUUCAUAGUCGGCGGCAUCAAGGGGUCAUGGAGGGGCGUGGCACGGAUGGGGGCUGGGAAGGAUGAGGUGACGGACGCACCUUAGACGCUGACGCCGACUUCCGUUUGGCAUUGAAGCGCAACCGUUUCCAUUUCAUCGAAAGAGUUAAACAAGUAGAACCCAGCUCAUUUAAGGAUAAGACUAAGUAGUACCCUCUUUCUUAGCUCUGAAAAUAUUUGUAUAACUGAAUUUAAAUAAUUCUGUUCACUAUGCUUGAUAUAUGGUAGCCCGUAAGUACACAAUAUGCUCAACAUGUUUGAAUAACAUAAACAAAAAAGGUUGUAUCAUUUUAUAUUCUUUUAAUAUACUCCUUGUAUACCCUGUACUCAGUAGAAGAGUUAAACUGAAUGGCAACAAUUUGAGUGCCUAAUGACGCAGAGUAAUGAAGUCGCCGCCGCGCCUCCAAAGGCAGGCUGAGUCUCUGAAAACCCGG
Molecule: non-coding RNA, 561 nt
Organism: Drosophila melanogaster (fruit fly)
Lineage: Eukaryota; Metazoa; Arthropoda; Insecta; Diptera; Drosophilidae
Source: Ensembl